RNAcentral lists this long non-coding RNA (1355 nucleotides) under Ananas comosus (pineapple). RNAcentral describes it as "long non-coding RNA (ACOM_LNC017290)". Lineage: Eukaryota; Viridiplantae; Streptophyta; Magnoliopsida; Poales; Bromeliaceae. The record is from RNAcentral.
UUGUAUACCAUGUGGACCAGUUUGCAAGCACAUGCGAUGCAGGUUUGAAAUAAGCAAAAUAAAGACCCAAGAAUUAAGACGCAUUAAUUUGGUCUGAAUGAAGCUUCUGUUCUCGAGUAGGAACCUUGUUCUAAAUUUGGACCGAACCAAAUAAACAUUUCUUUUGUAAAUGGUUACGUACCUUGAGCUUUUAUGACUCGUAGUACGUACUUUAACAUGCGCAUGGCUGUAGACAAUUCAUUUCCCACGAAAUUCAAGGUGGCAUCAUGAAAUGUUAAACCCUAAGGCUGCGUUUGGUUCGGGUAUAAGUAAGAACUGCUAGUUUUAGGAAUAGGUACAAGUUCAGGUAUAAGCAGGAACUAGACCAAUUUUGCGUUUGGAUGAAAAUUGAGUUGUUCCUAGGAAUAAGGUAAAUAGUGUUUGGAUGAUUAGAUUGGAACAAGAGGAAUAAGCGUUAUAAUUUGAAAUUAAAAUUAUAUUAUGUAAUUAAUUAACAUAAAAAUAUUACUUAAAAAUAAAUAAAAAUUAAUUAUUAAUAAUUAAUUAUAAAUAAUAAUUAUUAAUAAUAAUUAAUUAUAAAUAAUAAAUUAAUAAUAACAACGAUUAUCUAAUUAUUAAGAAUAAUAAUUAUUAAUUAAUUAUUAAUAAAUAAUAAUAUUAAUUAUUAAUUAUUAAUUAUAAAUAAUAUAUUAAUAAUAAUAUCGAUUAUCAUUAAGAAUAAUAAUUAUUAAUAAUUAUUAAUAAAAAAUUAAUAAAUAUUAUUAAUUAUUAAUAAUUAAUUAUAAAUAAUAAAUUAUUUAAUUAUUUAAUUAUUAAAAUAAUAAAUAAUAAUUUAAAUAUAUUAAUUAGAUUAAUUAAUAAUUUACUGCGAUUAAAAUUAAAUUUAGAUUUUAAUUAAUCUUGUUCUCAUCAAGGAACAAGCUUGUUCCAGAAAACGGGUGGAACAGCAGUUCCAGCCUUAUACCAGCUAGUUCUAGAUUUCCGGGAACUACUGUUCCCGGGAGCCAAACAUAGCGUUUGGGAACAAAGGGGAGAACAAGGGCUUAUUCCCCCCCUUGUUCCCCAACCAAACGCUACCUAAGUUAGCCCCUUUUUUUCUUUUUUUCUUUUAGAGAAAGAUAGCAUUUCUAUAUAUCCGCUUAUCAGGUAUUAAUCAUCAAAUAUUUUAUCACUUACGAUAGAGAUAGUGGGUACCAAAAGAUUAAUGUAAUUAAUGAUAAAUUUAGAAAUAUAUUUAACACUUCUAUUCAUAUAUAUGUUGAAUUUCAAAAGGUACUUAAUAUUGAUAUAUAAGAUAAGAGAUAAAGAUUUAAACUAUAUAUGAUGCAGAAAUUUAAUUAAAUCAUUUUAAUGUU